Molecule: ribosomal RNA, 450 nt
Filed under: uncultured bacterium
Lineage: Bacteria
Description: bacterial SSU rRNA
Rfam family: Bacterial small subunit ribosomal RNA
Source: RNAcentral
UGGCCAGACUCCUACGGGAGGCAGCAGUGGGGAAUAUUGGGCAAUGGGCGAAAGCCUGACCCAGCAAUGCCGCGUGAAUGAAGAAGGUCUUAGGAUUGUAAAAUUCUGUCCUAUGGGAAGAAACAAAUGACGGUACCAUAGGAGGAAGCCCCGGCUAACUACGUGCCAGCAGCCGCGGUAAUACGUAGGGGGCGAGCGUUGUCCGGAUUUACUGGGUGUAAAGGGCGUGCAGCCGGAGAGACAAGUCAGAUGUGAAAUCCACGGGCUCAACCCGUGAACUGCAUUUGAAACUGUUUCCCUUGAGUGUCGGGGAGGUAAUCGGAAUUCCUUGUGUAGCGGUGAAAUGCGUAGAUAUAAGGAAGAACACCAGUGGCGAAGGCGGAUUACUGGACGAUAACUGACGGUGAGGCGCGAAAGCGUGGGGAGCAAACAGGAUUAGAUACCCGUGUA